CAGGACAGGUACAGCACAGGCAGCGACAGUGUGAGCUUUCCCCACACCACCCCUCCAAGUGCCUCAACCCUGACCUGGAGGGACCACCUCUAGA
RNAcentral lists this small RNA (94 nucleotides) under Phascolarctos cinereus (koala). RNAcentral describes it as "TUC338 (ENSPCIG00000032318.1)". Lineage: Eukaryota; Metazoa; Chordata; Mammalia; Diprotodontia; Phascolarctidae. The record is from RNAcentral.